RNAcentral lists this ribosomal RNA (539 nucleotides) under Pseudomonas sp. J27. RNAcentral describes it as "bacterial SSU rRNA". It matches the Rfam family "Bacterial small subunit ribosomal RNA", at positions 125 to 659 of the family's 1533-position model. Lineage: Bacteria; Pseudomonadati; Pseudomonadota; Gammaproteobacteria; Pseudomonadales; Pseudomonadaceae. The record is from RNAcentral.
UCUGCCUGGUAGUGGGGGACAACGUUUCGAAAGGAACGCUAAUACCGCAUACGUCCUACGGGAGAAAGCAGGGGACCUUCGGGCCUUGCGCUAUCAGAUGAGCCUAGGUCGGAUUAGCUAGUUGGUGGGGUAAUGGCUCACCAAGGCGACGAUCCGUAACUGGUCUGAGAGGAUGAUCAGUCACACUGGAACUGAGACACGGUCCAGACUCCUACGGGAGGCAGCAGUGGGGAAUAUUGGACAAUGGGCGAAAGCCUGAUCCAGCCAUGCCGCGUGUGUGAAGAAGGUCUUCGGAUUGUAAAGCACUUUAAGUUGGGAGGAAGGGCAGUAAGCGAAUACCUUGCUGUUUUGACGUUACCGACAGAAUAAGCACCGGCUAACUCUGUGCCAGCAGCCGCGGUAAUACAGAGGGUGCAAGCGUUAAUCGGAAUUACUGGGCGUAAAGCGCGCGUAGGUGGUUUGUUAAGUUGAAUGUGAAAGCCCCGGGCUCAACCUGGGAACUGCAUCCAAAACUGGCAAGCUAGAGUACGGUAGAGGGU